CAGGAUGAACGCUAGCGACAGGCUUAACACAUGCAAGUCGAGGGGCAGCACGGGAGUAGCAAUACGAACUGGUGGCGACCGGCGCACGGGUGAGUAACGCGUAUGCAACCUACCUAUCAGAGGGGAAUAACCCGGCGAAAGUCGGACUAAUACCGCAUAAAACAGGGGCACCGCAUGGUGAUAUUUGUUAAAGAAAUUCGCUGAUAGAUGGGCAUGCGUUCCAUUAGGUAGUUGGUGAGGUAACGGCUCACCAAGCCGACGAUGGAUAGGGGAACUGAGAGGUUGGUCCCCCACACUGGUACUGAGACACGGACCAGACUCCUACGGGAGGCAGCAGUGAGGAAUAUUGGUCAAUGGGCGAGAGCCUGAACCAGCCAAGUCGCGUGAAAGGAAGAAGGAUCUAUGGUUCGUAAACUUCUUUUGCAGGGGAAUAAAGUGCGGGACGUGUCCUGUUUUGUAUGUACCCUGAGAAUAAGGAUCGGCUAACUCCGUGCCAGCAGCUGC
RNAcentral lists this ribosomal RNA (504 nucleotides) under uncultured bacterium. RNAcentral describes it as "bacterial SSU rRNA". It matches the Rfam family "Bacterial small subunit ribosomal RNA", at positions 25 to 518 of the family's 1533-position model. The record is from RNAcentral.